UGGGGAAUAUUGCACAAUGGGGGGAACCCGUGAUGCAGCGACGCCGCGUGAGCGAAGAAGUAUUUCGGUAUGUAAAGCUCUAUCAGCAGGGAAGAAAAUGACGGUACCUGACUAAGAAGCCCCGGCUAACUACGUGCC
RNAcentral lists this ribosomal RNA (138 nucleotides) under uncultured bacterium. RNAcentral's name for it is "partial 16S ribosomal RNA". It matches the Rfam family "Bacterial small subunit ribosomal RNA", at positions 355 to 509 of the family's 1533-position model. The record is from RNAcentral.